AAAACAUAGUCUGCAGCUUUGAUUGCAGGUUAACUCUGCUCAAUGAUAGUUUUAAUUAAAUAGCCGCAGUACUUUGACUGUGCUAAGGUAGCAAAAUAAUUUGACUUUUAAUUGGGGCCCUGCAUGAAUGAAUAAAUGGUUAAGAUUUGUCUUUUUUAUUUUAACAAAAAUUUGCUUAGUUGGUGAAAAUUCCAACAUAGAAAAUACUAGACGAGAAGACCCUUAGAAUUUUUAUUAAAAGAAUUAAAUAUUUUUUCAAUUUUUGUUGGGGCGACAUCAUAACAUAUUUAUAAACUUAUGAAAAUAUUUCACAAGGCUAAGCAUAAUUAGAAGCGGAUAUAAUUACCUUAGGGAUAACAGCACAAUAUUUUUUUGUUUGUGACCUCGAUGUUGGAUUAGGACCUUAAGUGGUUAAAAAUUAUUUUUGUAUCUUCUGUUCGAAAGAUUUUUACCUACGUGAUCU
This 463-nucleotide ribosomal RNA is filed under the name Meghimatium fruhstorferi. RNAcentral describes it as "partial 16S ribosomal RNA". The stretch from base 1 to 196 matches the Rfam family "Archaeal large subunit ribosomal RNA", at positions 1902 to 2143 of the family's 2987-position model. Lineage: Eukaryota; Metazoa; Mollusca; Gastropoda; Stylommatophora; Philomycidae. The record is from RNAcentral.